UGUUGUAUUUCUAAAACUAAAUGAUUGUCCCUACAAAAGCAUUUUGUAAUUGGAAAAGAUAUGGAUGGAGGCACAAUCUGUACACAUGGGGACUCAUGAAAAAAGGAUAAGCUCUUUCUGGGUCCCAAAGUCCUCAUCUCAUUUCAAGAGAUAGAGAAGGAACUUUCCAUAACCAACAAUUAAUUAUCUCUAAAAUAUAUAAUUCCUGUAGUCCUCCACUAUCUAAGUAUCAUUAAAGCUAUAUAUAAACAACAAUUUCAAUCAUUCAAGGGAAUAAAACAGCAUAAGAGAAACCAGAGCAAAAGAAAAAAGAUCUAGUAAUGAUGUCUUCUGAUUACUCACCUUCUUCAUCUCACCAAGAACAUUUCAUCAACAGCUUCCUCUCAAGAAAAUUGCUUCAGCAACUUCCUUUUCAUCACAACAUACAGCAACAACAACAAGCUCAAGGACAAGACAAGAGCAACUUGAGCGGCAACAUUCUCCUGCUUCUCUCUAUCCUUGUCUGCGGUAUCAUCUGCUCACUAGGGUUGCAUUACAUAAUCCGUUGCGCCUUUAGACGUUCCUCGAGUUUCCUGAUCUCUGAUCCCAUCUCAAUCCCGUCCACACCACGAGGCUCAGCAGCAGCAAACAAAGGCAUCAAGAAGAAAGUUCUCAAGAUGUUCCCGGUAUUGACUUACUCACCUGAGAUGAACUUGUCAGGGGUCGGCGAAGAGUGUGUUAUUUGCUUGUCUGAUUUUGUAGCUGGAGAACAGAUACGGCUACUUCCUAAGUGCAACCAUGGGUUCCACGUUCGUUGUAUCGACAAGUGGCUUACGCAACAGAUGACUUGUCCGAAAUGUAGACACUGUCUGGUUGAUACAUGUCAAAAGAUCUUAGGAGACUGUGACGAAGCUGAUGAAGUUGCAGAAACAACAACGGAGAGUAUAGAUGUUAUAAUUGCUCCUACAGAACCUGAAGAAAGAGUCAACAGCUAGAGAGUAUGUGCCAAUAAACAACUAGAUUUUCAAGAUUUUAGUUCUUCCACAUGAUUGGAACACAGUUUAUGUCCCUAGCCAGUAGGAUUCCAAAAUCAAACACAAUGGAGCUUUUGUUUGUUUUUCUUUUUGCCUCAAUGCUCAAAAUGUACAGAGAAUAUAUCUUAAGCUUUCCAUGGCAUCAUAACUUCAUCAGACUUUUCUGUGUUAUAUGACUAUUUACAAAUAGCAAUACUCACAUCCAAGGCUAAUAAUAUAAACCGUCAUCUCGGAGGAAGUUUGAUAAACACUUUCCAUAGAAUUCCUCUUCAUUUUCAUAUCACAAAACACAGAAGACGACUAAGUAACCACUACUUUUGAAGGUCUGAAAAGAAAUGGUUUCAAUGAAGCUCAGAGAGACCAAGGUAUUGCAUGAAGAAGGCAAAUCAAAGACUACAAUGAUGCCACAUAGAUCUGCUCUAAUCUGUUACAAACUUUUCCACAGUAACAUCAUCUAUAGGUCCAAAACCGACCCAUUGUAAGCAUUGUGGGUAAGAAGUAUAUUAAGGAACUAAUGAUAAGGAAAUCAGCAGCUCUAUGUGUCUGAAAAGUUAUAUGGACUCAAGACAUAAUAAGGUAAAACAAAUACACCCAAGUGAGUGGGUAAUAAAUAGUCAAACAUAAAAGCUACCUUGAGUAAUACUUGUAAUAUAUCAAUCAAGGCACACAUGGUAUGAGACCAUAAUUGAAAGCUCCAAUUAAACAAUGUGCUAGCAGUGUUACAAACUUUAUAAGAUGAACCUAGCAUAAGGAUUAACGAGAAACUGAUAAAUAGUUCACUCAAUGUGUAUAGUGUUCAAUUAAUCUAUCACUAGCCUAAGGAGUGAAACUGUGUAGGGGGCAGAACCAUCUACAAGACACAAAGGAGAUCCAAUGGUAGCUGUGAAAAAGAAAGUUAUAAAUAGUAACAUAGAGCUUUAAGCAAAGCCUCCUAGCUGGACCAAAAACUUCAAUCAUAAGCUUUUCAACUUCUUGGAGUAUAAUUGAUAUUAGAGGUUCAAUACAGAUAAUCCAGAAACAUGUAAAUAAAAAAUGGAAAAACUCUGUCGACAUCCUGAUGCUCUUUCUUUAAUCCAAUUUCACAUCUUGAUGCUCUUUCUUUACUCCACUUUAAUAAUCACGAAGUACAAAGACUAUCAAAUCAAGAAUGUCAACCUACGCAUGCACGAAUAUCACAUGGUACCCCAAGUAACAUAAAGCAAUAAAGGCAAAGUUAAUCACUUUCAAGAAGGGAUAACAAAAUACCACUAUCUGUUCGUACCAGCUACAUGGAACCUCGUAGUGGCAUAAACAAAAGAAGAAGACACAUCAUUUUCAGAUAGCCUUGUAUAGUCUUUAUGUAAUUUUCAGAGUGGGACUGGUGCCAAAGGAUAUAUAUCUCCCCUGCCUUGCAUCAAUUCGGAAUACAUAAAAAUCCACCCCUAAUCAAUGCAUUAUUUGGAUCUAAAUAUAAUUAGUAUAGAUGGAUGUCAUUGCAUAAUUUAGUUGGCAUCAAACAUAAGAUAUACUAAGACGGAAUAGAGAGAGAGAUCAGUGACAUGAGCCAAGACCCAAGAGGUUUAUUAUCUCAGUGCUGUCUCAAAGAUUAGGGAAAGUUCACGGCUGCUCUAGCUAAAGAACAUGUGUCCCCGUGAGCAACUCUUUAGGGAUUUGAUUUUCCAAAUUUACUGCCACAUGGUUUCCAGAGACAAAUUAGAGACUGAACCUAGACAAAUCAAUAAAUGGUAUGAAAGGCCCACGCAUCUUCAAUAAGAAGUCACACUAAGAUUAUAAAAACUCAGUGGAGAAUCCAUAUAAGAUGCGACUAAAACAUAAAAAUAAAACGAAGCACUAAAGGACUUUGUUAAUUUCCCCAGCAUAUUCCAAUAACCAUAAUUCAGAAAAAAAUCAGUUUGCAAUUAUAUAUCAGAAAGUAUAUGAAACCUGUACGUUUUCAUUAUAUAUAGAACCUAGAAAAAACCUAGAAGAUCUAUCUAUUACUUCAACCACCUACCACGUCAACGCCCCCGUUUGUUACCAGUGGCGGAUCUAGAAUAUAUUUUUAUCCUGGACAAAGAUGAAAACUAUUAGCAAAAAUUAAUAUGUGAGCAGAGGCAUGACUAAAUUUUUUAAAGAAAUUAUACUGAAUUUGAAAAUUUCAUCAUGGGCAACUGCCCCUCCCUUACUUCAUAUGGGCUUUGAUGCAAAUGUUGUCAUGGUCCUAUAAGUCCUCUUAUGCGCACUAGUUUGCUCACUUGCACUACAUUCUAUUCUAAGAUGUCUGCUGAAGUAGUUCAAUUUGUUAUCAUUCGAAGCUAGUGAUGAGCUUGCAGUUCGCUUGGCCAAUAGUCAACCACCAUAGAGUCUAAAUUAUAAUGUGAUCUGAGCAUGAAAACCACCAUACAGUCAAAAUCAGACGAUAAAAAAUCAAGUGGUUUUUAAUAUUGAACUAAUCGUAGAAAAAUAUAACGGUAGAUAAAUUCACAACCAUUGUUAGUGUUGACAACCAUUGAAAGAACUAAAACUACUGCUUCAGACCUUGCUCCAGAGGCCCAUGGUUUUCAAAACCUAACUAAACAGAGACAUGGACAUAUAGGAUCGGAAAAAGAAUAUCACAGACACAUAAGCCGACAUCCAUCCCUCCCUUCUUGUGAAGAUCGAGUUGAAACUCUCGAAGAUCAUAUCUUGGGGCCAACAGAUUUCAGUAGUCUUGGACUCUUGUGCGACUGGACCAGUAGUUGCCAGGUCGUUUUGAGCCUAUUAAUAAAGCCCAAUAAAACAAUACUAAUCAUCAUUUAUUGCAGACAAAAAAAAUACUAAUUUGGUUUUAUGGAUUUGUUUCAUAUUUUCUGAAUUGUCAAGUUUUGAUCCCUGAAAUAAUUCACUAAUUUCUCUUCAAAUAAUAAUUCACCAACUUUAAUAAUUGGACGAUGUCAUUCAUUUUUUAAUAGUACAUCAGACCUCAAAACAGAGAAAAAUCAGUUUAUCUAUUUAAUUCUGGCAUCAUCUCUAGUUUGUUUGUUUGUUUGUUUACACCAUAAUUUCUUGUUCAAUUAUUUAUUUAUAUUUUAAUGUUUAUGUUUUGUUAAUAAACUAAUAAUUGUAUAAAUUAGCAAAACAAAUUUUAUAUUACAUUAUUGGACGAUGGAUGCUUCAUGCUCGUAUCCUUUUCUUUCAAAAACUUUAUUCUUAGCACACUUACAAAUUCAGGCUACUGUCUAACAAUGUGAAUAUAAAGUAUAAUAUCAACGAGAACAAUAUAUUGAUAGAGUAAAACUGGAACUUCAUGGUUGAAAAAAAACUUUAUACAAAAAAUCUCUACUAUUUUUGAUGAAGUUGCUAGCUAUGAUCCAUUUGAUUUUUAUUACAUGUAGGGCUUAAAUCAUAUGAAUUUAGAGGUAACAAAUCCAUAAUUUCAAAAAAGCAAAAAAGCUUUAUGGGUGGAUUGUGGUGUGCCACUACUAGUAAAGUUGAGAGGGAGAAAAAGCUAGAUCUCUAGGAUCAAUUAAUUACAUUCUAAAUCCAGGAAAAAUAACCUUAAUUGACUUUUCUCUAACAAAAAGACAUGAACGUGGCCUGCCAUAUAUAUGGAACUUUAUAAUAUAAAACUUGAACAUGGCCUGCCUCAUAUAAUAAAUAGUGAGAAUCAAAUGUAAUCAUACUAGUAGCGAUGAAAAUCAGAAGUAGUUUCGUAAUGAUGGACCCAACGUUUUCGUAGGUGCCAGCUUAACCUUCCCACAUUCUUUUCCCAAUUCGAUUGUACUCGGCACGUGCGAUUCAAGUUGAUCAAAAAGUUGACUUUUAAUUUUCAUCUCUUAACUAAAAAUAAGAGUAUGAAUCAUAGUUGUUCUUAUUUUUUGGGUUGAACAUGAUCAGGUUUGUAGCGUCAUUGCUAAUAUUUUAACUUGCUAUUUCCCAAGAUGAUUUGAUAUUUAUAACUAUCAUAUACUCGGCUUGUAACCUAGCCAACUAGGUGGGGUUCAAUACAUGUACUCGGUUUCUCCUUUCGUAGCCUAACUAGGUGGUCACCAUUCACCACUUUUAUUAAAUCAAAUCCAUAAUUUUGAAGUGCAUGUGCUUAAAUCUAUUCCAGGAUAUGAAAGCUAAGAACGACUGAAAGCCCAUGCACGUUCAUGUAAGAGAGUUUUGAGUUAGAAGUACAUGGCACAAGAAAAUGGCUAGACUCAAUGUAAUGGUGUCUCAACUCAACAUAUACCUAUAUUGUAUAAGUUAUAUACCAAACAUCAUGUUAUACAAAAUAGCAAUAUUAAUCCACAACUACUUUGACGACUUAGUAGCCACUAUUUAAUACAUUAAUCACGAAUACGAUGGAAUAUUAAUAAUAAUCGACAUAACACAUAAUCAUGAAAAUCACAUUCAUUCACGGUCUGAUCUAUUACUUAUUCCUACUUUAAAUGAUUCAACACGAUUCUAAUCCUAAUAGAAAAUGACAUUAAUAAAGUCGAAUUUUGUGAAAAUCUAAAUUGAACAAGCCAACCACGACCAUCGUUGCCUCUAUUGACUCGGUUAAGUUAAUAGUAUUAAAAAAAAUGGAGCUGUCAUUUUACGCUGAGCCGAUCACAGACAAAGCCAUCUCAGCAAAAACAAAUUAGGCUUUAAUUAAUCCAACGGCUGAUAUUAUUAAUUAAUUUAAAAAGGGGGAAUUAAACAGUAAAGGCUGUCUGACAGCCAGGUCACGUUAUCUUUUCCUGUGGUCGAUAUGAUUCGUCUCUGUCGAUUAUUAUUAUUAUUAUUUGAAAGGCGGAAAAGAAAGAUAAAGCCGCCUAUAUAAAUUCAACUCAUUUCUCCUUCUUCGAAUCGUCUCGUCGUCCUCACAGUUUCAUCGGCCGUUGACUAUCUCCGGCGAGAAGAGAGAGAGAGAUCGGAAUCGUAUCGAUUUCUUGUUUCUUCUUCGAAUCUUUCUCGUCCAAGGUAAAGAAAACUUUGUAUGUUUUGGAUCUAUACGUUGUUAUGAGCCUCGUAGAGAUCUGGAAUUGAUUAGAUUUGGAUCUACGAGCUACUAAUUCGGAGAAUCAAGUUCAGUUGACCGAUCAUCGUUAGCUCGAUUAGUGAUCUUGGAUUGGAUCUCAAUAGGGGGAUAGAGAGAUCCGUAUUCAGAUUCACUGUUUUGUGGAAAUGAUUGUUAGAAUAGAGAUCUGAACUGUUAAGGGUUUAGAUGAAGCUUGAGCAGUAGAAUCUAAACAUGAACCGUCACGUUAUGUGUUAUUUUGAAGUUGCAAUAUUAUCUUAUCGAUUUGGGGAUUUUGUAGCCUCUCAUACAUUCAAUAUAGAAAGCUAUUCUCAGAGAUAUAUUUCUAUUUAAUUGAUUUGUAAAUCUUUAACUGAAAUUUACUUAUUUAUAUAUCUGAUAUUUUAGUUAAUGUUAGGAUAUUUUAACUUUUUUUUUUGUAUUUUUAGCAAAUACUUUUCUCCAAAUCUACUUAAAUCAAAUUAAUUAAUUAAUCCACCUGAUUUAAAUUAGGAUUUAUAAAUUAUGAUAUCAAUAGCACUGAAUUUCGUUUGGAUUUAUUUUUAUUUGAUUUGAUCUAAUUUUAUUUAACAGUAUCCAACUCUUUUUAUAUUUUUGCAGCUUAUAAAAAAUGGCUGAGGCUGAUGAUAUUCAACCCAUCGUCUGUGACAAUGGUACCGGAAUGGUCAAGGUUAGUUACUUGUCUCUCUUUACUCUCUUUAUCAGAUCUUUGGAAUGCUCUCUUUUGAUGGCUUCAUGAUCUGUGUGUACAGGCUGGUUUCGCUGGUGAUGAUGCUCCCAGGGCUGUUUUCCCUAGUGUUGUUGGUAGGCCAAGGCAUCAUGGUGUCAUGGUUGGGAUGAACCAGAAGGACGCCUACGUGGGUGACGAAGCACAGUCCAAGAGAGGUAUUCUCACCUUGAAGUACCCUAUCGAGCAUGGUGUUGUGAGCAACUGGGACGACAUGGAGAAGAUCUGGCAUCACACUUUCUACAACGAGCUCCGUAUUGCUCCUGAAGAGCACCCGGUUCUUCUUACCGAGGCUCCUCUUAACCCAAAGGCCAACAGAGAGAAGAUGACCCAGAUCAUGUUCGAGACCUUCAACUCUCCAGCUAUGUAUGUCGCUAUCCAAGCUGUUCUCUCCCUCUACGCCAGUGGUCGUACUACUGGUAUUGUGCUGGAUUCUGGUGAUGGUGUGUCCCACACUGUGCCAAUCUACGAGGGUUUCUCUCUUCCACACGCCAUCCUCCGUCUCGACCUUGCUGGUCGUGACCUCACUGAUUACCUCAUGAAGAUCCUCACCGAGAGAGGUUACAUGUUCACCACGACAGCAGAGCGGGAAAUUGUAAGAGACAUCAAGGAGAAGCUUUCGUUCGUUGCUGUCGACUAUGAGCAGGAGAUGGAGACUUCCAAAUCCAGCUCCUCCAUCGAGAAGAACUACGAGCUACCCGACGGGCAAGUGAUCACCAUCGGUGCCGAGAGAUUCAGGUGCCCAGAGGUCCUGUUCCAGCCUUCGUUCGUGGGAAUGGAAGCUGCUGGAAUCCACGAGACGACUUACAACUCGAUCAUGAAGUGUGACGUGGAUAUCAGGAAGGACUUGUACGGUAACAUUGUGCUCAGUGGUGGAACAACUAUGUUCUCGGGGAUUGCAGACCGUAUGAGCAAAGAGAUCACAGCACUUGCGCCAAGCAGCAUGAAGAUUAAGGUCGUUGCUCCUCCCGAGAGGAAGUACAGUGUCUGGAUCGGUGGUUCCAUUCUUGCUUCCCUCAGCACAUUCCAGCAGGUAGAUUUUUUAGAUUUUUUUUCUCAUUUUUUAAUUUUGUAAAUUUGAUCAAUGGCUGAUUGUUUUAUAUGUUUGUUUGUCAUCAGAUGUGGAUCUCAAAGGCUGAGUAUGAUGAGGCAGGUCCAGGGAUUGUUCACAGGAAAUGUUUCUAAGCUCUUAAGGGAAAGGCUACAAGCUGGGUAUUAUGAAUGGGAUCAAAGUUUCUUUUUUUUUUUGUUUCUAUUUGCUUCUCCAUUUGUUUGUUUCAUUUGCUUUCUUUUUUUGUUAUCGUUUCUAUACACUUGUGUGUGACAAAACUCUCUGGGUUUUACUUUACGUCUGCGUUUCAAGAAACAGCUUUCGUUUUGCGUUUUAGUCCCAUUGUUUUGUAGCUCUGAGUGGUGCCUCUAUUUUUCUGUAAUUUCUUUUUCAAAAACUGGGAAGAAGAAGCUUGAUAUACUCUUUGCAUUUGUUAAUAUACGUAUUGUAUUGAGAUAUGAUUUUAUUGAUUUGCCUUUAAAAGAUCAAAAGGUGGACACUUUUGAAUCUGGGGUUGUUCACAUCAAAUGUCUCACUUGUGGAAUCUGAAGUUAGAAACGAUGAGCAGAUACAUUUUAGCAUUAAUAAUCAGUUAAAUCACAAUCAAAAGUUUUAAUUUUUUCUCCACAAAACAGAAACAUACAGACACAAACACAAAUGUAGCCAACGGUCAGAAUCUGACAUAAAACAAGAGUUGUAAAACAAUGUCACAGGAAACAGAACACAAGAACACAGCGAAGUUGAUUUGUUUUGAAACUAACAGCUAAAUCAAAGCUCUCGGCUAGGAAUUGUUUUGUUGUUUUUGUUAGCUCCUCCACUUCCUCCUCCUGUAUGAAUCUCCUCACUGCUCGAGGAAGACGGGUCAAGCCCGUACUCACUCGUGUUCCCAUACUCACUGGUUGCACCGUACUCAUGGCUAUCCAUCGCCACUUUCCUGAACUUCCUCAUAUCCGCACUGUAAGUGCUCGAGUCAUAGUCCGAGCUCGAACCCCUCCCUAAGCUCUGCCCAGGUUUCACUUCGUUUAGAUCCUCCAGCGAUGCAUCUCCCUCCAGGGCCCGCACAAUCUGUUUAGAAUCAUUGAGCAACUCAUUACAUUUGCUUUGGAGUGGGCCCAUUAGUGAUAUAGUUCAUUUUUAUGUAAAGACUUACUUGGCUCAUCUUAGGCCUGCGUCUAGCUGAGUGUCUGACGGCUGCAGCGGCACAAGCCACCAUUCGUGCCAUCUCAUAAGGCUCGUAUUGGCCCUCGAGCCGUGGAUCAACUAGUUCACUGUAGUCUCCAUCUUGAGCUGCGUUUAAGCAUAAGGGUCUUGCCUGUGUAACAAAGUAACAAAGUUUUUAUUAGAUCAUUCAUUAGGAUACAAAGGUUAUAACAUAUUAUAUGUGGUACUGACCCAGUCGACCAAGCUGUCUUCCAUUUCACCAGUGAGAUCAACAGGUCUGCGUCCGGUUAUGAGCUCAAGAAGCAUCACUCCAAAGGAGAAAACAUCUGAUCUGUCUGUUAGUUUCCCGCUUGACGCAUACUCUGGAGCCAAGUACCUGAUUCAGAAUAGAAGAUUCUUGAUUAGAAAUCAAGAACAGCUUUCAUCAGUUAGUUUCACGUUUCUUUAUUACCCGAAAGUUCCCAUGAUACGAGUGGACACAUGUGUAACGUUGUCCUGAGAUAGCUUCGCUAACCCAAAAUCUGCAACCUAAAGAUUUAAAACACCAGUUAUAAAUAAAGAAUCUGAAGGCAUUGUGAUUUAAAAUUACAAGCAAACGUACCUUGGCUUCAAAGGAUUCAUCAAGAAGAAUGUUUGAAGCUUUGAUGUCUCUAUGAAUGAUUUUUGGAUGACCUGGUUACAAAAGUUUGAUCACAUCUCUAGUUAAACCUCAAUAGGAUCUAAUAAUUUUUUAUUAUUUUUUUUCGUUUUGACUUACAAUCUUCAUGUAAGUAAGCAAGUCCUUUAGCUGAUCCCAAAGCAAUCCUGAGCCUUGUAGGCCAGUCAAGAACAUUACCACUUUUACCAUGUAGAUGAAACUCAAGUGUGUCAUUAGGCAAGAACUCAUAAACCAAUAACAUCUUCUGUCCUUCCGCAAUACAAUAACCAACAAGAGACACAAGAAACCGAUGGUGAACUCGACUAAUGAUGUCCACCUCAGCUUGAAACUCUCGCUCUCCUUGUCCGCUUCCUGCUUUAAGACUCUUCACAGCGAUCUCUUUCCCAUUGGGAAGUAUCCCCUUGUGAACGUACCCGAACCCGCCUUGCCCUAACAGUCUCGCUUGAGAGAAGUUUUGAGUAGCUGCAGCUAGCUCGUCGUAGGUGAAUGUGCUCUGGUUGAAACCUAGAGCCACUGAAGGGUGAGGCGGUGGUAGAGCCGGACCGUAUGGACCUGAGUAGAUUUCGCUGCUGUUUCCGUUGUUUACACCGCCUGAAACUGGCUGUGGUGGUGGUGGCGGCGGUGAAUUCAUCCAGUUAUUGUUGCUGUUUAAUCCAGGGUGUUGAUGAGACAAGUUCAUAACGUGCUCGCUUUGGUUAUUGUAAUGUUGUUGCUGUUGUUGGUAUUGAUCACCUAUAAACAAAGCAGAGACUUUUAAACCUUGUUUCUUGGGUGACAAGUAAUGGAGUUUUCACAAAAUGUAAAAAUAUUUAGAAACAUCUGCUUGGUCAAGAGAUUAUGAAACUCCAAAACUUUUGAAAUGUGGUUUGAAGGUAAGAAGAUUUGAUUGAGUUAGGUUAUUAAUUCAGUUAUCUUGACACACAAGAAAUGGCUCUAAGACAUAAACUAGGUUAGGGUUAGGUUUAAGAUUGAUGACUUGGUGUUUGACCAUUUAUCUUUUACCUUUGCAUGUGGCUAAACCAUUGCUUGCGUAGUAUGGCAUUUGUUUAACCUUGUUUCUUGGAUUACAAGAACAUCUAGUGGGGUUUUCCACAAAUAUACAAAAUAUUCAAAAAUCAAAGGCUUGGUCAAAAGAUUAUGAAACUCCUAAACUUUGAAAUGUGGUUGAAGGUAAGAAGAUUUCAUUGUGUUAUGUUAUUAAUUCAGUUAUCUUGGCACACAAGAAAUGGUUCUAAAAUGGAACCUAGGCUAGGCUUAGGGUUAGGGGUAAGGUUUGUGACUUGGUGUUUGACCAUUUAUGGUUUUUACCUUUGCCUGUGGCGUAACCAUUGCUUGCGUAGUACGGCAUUGGGUUCUUCUUUUUCUUCUUGCGACAGCAACAGACGCAGAACAAGAUCAUAACAAGAAGCAACAACCCAGCACCAGCCGCAAUUCCUAUGAUAGCACCCGUGUUCGGUGCAUCGCCACCACCGCUUGAUCUAGGCGGAGCCAGGGAUCUCGGUGGGGAAGGAGAGUUACGGUCGGAGUUUCUUGAAGGAGGAGCAGGCGAAUGAUUGUUGCUUCCUCCGCUGUUGUUUCCGUUGUUAUUAUUCCCAUUGUUGUUAUUACCAUUGUUGCCAUUAUUGCUGUUAUUUCCAUUGUUUCCAUUAUUGUUGUUAUUACCAUUGUUGUUGUUAUCAUUGUUUCCACCAUUGUUUGUGUUGCCAUUGUUGUUGUUGUCAUUGUUUCCACCAUUGUUGUUAUUACCAUUGUUGUUGUUGUCAUUGUUUCCACCAUUGUUAUUACCAUUGUUGUUGUUAUCAUUGUUUCCACCAUUGUUAUUGUUGUUGUUGUUGUUGUUUUCUUGUUGUGGCGAAGGUGGAGGUUGUGAGUCUGAAGAAGGAGGUGGAGGAGAGGAUGAGGAAUUAUCUGGCGGAGGAGGAGCUGGUGGUGAAGAUGAAGGAGAGGAGGAGGAGGAGGAGGAGUCAGGAGACGGAGGAGAUUGCUGUUGGGUGUUGUCGGGGGAGGAAGGAGAUGGAGGCGUAGGAGACGGCGGUGAAUUCUCCGGGGACUGCCCCUCCGCCAUAAUCUCUUUUGGGUGUUUUUUUUCUUCUUCUUCUUUUAUUUAUUCUCCUGAAGCUCUCUCUUAAGAAAACCUCUUAAGAGAGAUGGGUUCAAAACCUCCUUUCCAAGUUCUAUUUUUAAGAAUGCUGUCAUUUUUUUUGGUUCUGAAUUGCUGAUUUCUUCUUUUGUAGGGGCUAUAUUUGGUUAUUAACACAGCCAUAUGCUUGCUCAGAAAAAAUAAAAAAAUACAGCCAUGCAAAUUAUGCAACCUUCAACUAAAUUUGAAAGAAAAAGAAAAAUUACAGUGAAGAAGUCAUGUGAUUAAACAUAAAAUGAUUGUUUACCAAAGAAGGAACACAUAGAUAAAUCAGUGAAUAACACGUGAAAACACAAGGGAACUUUUUACAAAAAAGGGGAAAAAUAUUAAAAACAGAAGAGACAUAUAUGCUCUCGUUGAGAGUCGAACUCAAGACCUCCCGCUUACUAAACGGGUGCUCUAACCAACUGAGCUACGAGAGCUUUUUGAUGAUAAGAAUCAUACUAUAUAUAACAACACAGAUAUUGAAAAUAAGAGGAACAUAUCUAGGAUAUUCUGUUUUUAUACAAAAUAAUAAAAUAAUAGUUGCCUGAGGAAUUACAAUACAGAUCAGGAACAGCUUCAGGGAGGGCACAAAGCGAAGAAAACACCAGGAGAUCGAUCGUAGAAUCUCUCCGUUGAUCAUUUAAUCUACUUGCGAUACAGAUGCCUUCCCGUAGACGCACUCUCCUCAAAGUCAUCAUCCUCGGCGACAGCGGGUUUAGCUAUCUCCAAAGACACUCUCUUUUUUAAAUAUUUUUAUUUGUUCUAAACUGGUGAUUUCGGAUUCGCGAUUUAAUCAGUAUUAUAUUCCUUUCUUCCGGUUUAGAUAUGAUCGGUUCAUCUCUUAGUUUGGCUGCUGAGUAUGGAGGUUUAGUCUCAAAAUCGUAGACUCUAGCUACUUGACUUUACUUCAACACGAUCUUUUGUCUAUAGAUUGUUUAUCAGUUUACUAUUACGUUUCAUUUUGUCUCAUCAACAUGUAGUUUCCAAACUCUUGUGAUCCCAGGCUUGCUUUGCAUCUGAUUUGACUACAUGAAACUUGGUGUCUUGUUAUGUUUAUUUGAGUGUGAAACCAACUUGGACUCUUUCUGACUUGUGGUAUUUUUCAGGGUGGGGAAAACCUCUUUGAUGAACCAGUAUCCUACUUUUGUCUGAAAUAAAAUAAGAAUUAAGUCAAAUUAGUUUUGCUUUUGUUUUGCGUUAACAUGAUGAUAACUUUUUAGAUAUGUUAAUAAAAAGUUCAGCAACCAGUACAAGGCCACCAUUGGAGCUGACUUCUUGACUAAGGAAGUCCAGUUUGAAGAUCGUCUUUUCACUUUACAGGUUCUUACUAGUCGCUCUCUAUCAGUGAACUACUUCUUUUGUCAACAGAGUGGUGCUGUAUUUAUAUUCAGUAGAGAGUUUAUGACUAUUAGAUGAGAGACUAGCUUAGAAAACGCUAAUUUGACUAAAGAAGGAUAGCUCUAAGUUGUCCCAAGUCUUGUGUCUCACUCCACAGUCGCCAAGCUUUCACAUUUGUUGGAGCUCUACCUUCUUUGCUUGAACAAAGCUCACUUGUUUCUAUCUUUUUUUUUUAUCAAUGUGUGGGUUAUUAUUACAGAUAUGGGAUACAGCUGGACAGGAAAGGUUCCAGAGCCUUGGUGUAGCUUUCUACCGAGGUGCUGAUUGCUGUGUGCUUGUAUAUGAUGUCAACUCCAUGAAAUCAUUUGAAAACCUCAACACCUGGCGAGAAGAGUUUCUCAUCCAGGUUCCAAAACCUCAACCUUGUUCUCACCCCUCAUAAUAGGCAAAGCAUUAACUCAGAGUUUAACUGUCCCUUUACAGGCUAGUCCAUCGGAUCCCGAGAAUUUUCCCUUUGUUCUUAUCGGAAACAAGGUCGACGUGGACGGUGGAAACAGCAGAGUGGUAUGUAUGAUAAGCCUACUUAAUUUUCCAUUGAGAUGUAAUGUAACAUUAACUUCCACACAUUGAUGACACACAGGUUUCAGAGAAGAAGGCUAAAGCUUGGUGUGCUUCAAAGGGAAACAUUCCCUACUUUGAGACCUCUGCUAAGGAAGGCACCAAUGUGGAAGAAGCUUUCCAGUGCAUUGCCAAGAAUGCUCUGAAGACCGGAGAAGAGGAAGAGCUGUAAGUUUUCAAAACAGUUCCAUACAUGUUUCAAAAUCACGAGUUUGGUCUCAGACGUUCUCUCUUUUGUCCUCUUUAGGUACUUGCCAGACACAAUCGACGUUGGGACAAGCAAUCAACCGAGAUCUUCAGGGUGUGAAUGCUAAAAUGGGUUUGUCUCUCUCCGAGAAGAUUGCUUUUGAGUUCAACAAUGUGUUUUGGUGUCUCCUCUCAUUCCCUCUCUUCACCAGCUAUCUGUAAAGUUUAUUACAUGCUGUAAAUUUGUUCUUUUGUGUGAAAAAAAGAACCCUUCAAAUCCAUGGACUACUUGUUCAGUGUUCCUUCUUUUUCAUUAUAUAAAAACUUAUUUUAAAUAUGUGUUUGUUUUAAAAUUAAACUAUUUCACAUUUUCUAAGCAACUUUAUAUUUAUUUGAUAUUUGCAUAAUUAAUUUCAGUUUAUAAUGUUUUUUAUAAUUGUUUGAAUUAUAUCUAAUUUGUGUAUUAAACAAUAUUUUCAAUUCUUUUAUCUAAGAAAAAUUGAUAUCAUAAAACAUGAGUAACUCUUUGUGGUUUAUAAAGAAAACAUAUUAUUUCAUUCAAGUAACAUAUCGGAUCAAAUUUAUACAUCUUUUGUAUGCCAUAUUCCCAUAAAUCCUAUUAAAAAAAGCCUCACUGCUUGUUUAAUCCAAUCUCAACCUCAGGAUUCGAACUGGAGUUCUUGUUGUUACUCUUGGAGUCUCUCCACCUAAACCCACUAAAAAGCUCAUCCAUAUCCUCAAGCAUCCUCCCUUGCGUCUCCGGCAAGAAAGUAUAGAAAAACACCCAAGCCACCGUCGCAAUCCCACCGAACAAAUAAAACGCUCCUCCGGUGGUCAUCCCUUUCGACAUCGGCAAAAACGUCAUCGAGAUCACACCGCUCGUCACCCUGUUCACCACCACACCCAUACUUGACCCCUGCGACCUCAGCCGCAACGGGAAUAUCUCCGAGCUGUAAACCCACGUGAUAGGCCCAGCUCCUAUAGAAAACGUGGCCACGUAAGUCAUCACCGUCGCGAUGCUCAACACCACGGCCCACAUCACUUUCUUAUCCGACUGGUCUAUAACCGUCAGAGAGGUCCCUAAAACCGCUAAAGACAGCACCAUCCCUCCAACACUAGUUAGAAGCAACGGUCGUCUUCCGACACGGUCUAGUAAGAAAGUAGCAACUAAUAUGAACGAUGUUUUUACGAUUCCUACCGCUACGGUCGCGAGAAGCUGCUCGUGAUCCGUUUCGAGCCCCGCGGUUUUGAAGAUCCUCGGCGAGAAGAGAACUACCGCGUCGAUGCCGGAAGCCUGCUGGAAGAAGUGGAUCCCGAUGGCGGCGAUCAUGACGCGGCGCACGGCGGGAGUGGGGCGGAGGAGGAGCUCUUUCCACACUCCUUCCCCGUGGCUGUUCCUCCUCGAGACCUGGACGACGUCGUCGUGGCAGUCGGCGGGGAUCCCGGCGGCUUCUUUGAUGUCUUCGAGGCGGAGGGAAGCUUCGGCGGGGGAAUCGGAGGUUUUGUCGAGGACGCGUUUGGCUUCGCCGAGGCGGCCUUGCAUGACGAGCCACCGCGGCGAUUCGGGCAUGGCGAGGACGCCGAUGGCGAGUACGACGGAAGGUAUGGCUCCGAUGCCGAGCAUGAAUCGCCAGCCGAGCUUGAGAGGGAACUUUGAGAAGGCGAGGUUUGAUACGUAGCCGAGCAUUAUUCCCGCGUUGAUGAAGACCUGUACACGUCAGCAAAACCAUUCCGUCACGUCAGAUAUUAUUGUCUUUUUUAUAAAUUAAUUAAAUUUGUCAUAAUCUCUUUUGAAAACAUGGACCAAACCUACCAAACUAUCUAUAUUUUGGCCUAAACGUUAUAAAGAUGAUGAACGAAAGUCAACGAUUUGUUGAUAAUGAUGUUUGUUUUUAAUAUUUUUUUACAAAAAACUACUUUUGGUCGACUACUGAAAAAUACAUUUGACAUUAUGCUCUGAAUUUUUGUUUACUAGUAAAUUAAAAUGAUUUUUUCUGCUACGUAACGUAAAUUUUAGACCAGAAUUAAAAACUAAAACAUGCACCAAACCUACCAAAAUAACUAUAUUUUGGUUAAAUCGUUAUAUAUGUGUUUAUAUUUUGUUACAAAAACCACUAAAUGUAAAAGAUAUAUACUAAGAUCAAAAAUAUAUUUAACAACUCUUUUCUGAAUUUAUUUACAGGUAUCAUUGUAAAAAUGAUUUUUAUGCUAAAGUAACAUACUUCUAGAAAAAAAAAACAAAAAAAAUAAGGAGUUUUGUUUUUUUUUUUCUAAUUGUUCAUGGCCUAGAAUCAUUUUCAAACAAAAAAAAUAUAGGUCAUUAGAUCCUAUAUAAUAAGGCCAUUUCUAAUUGUUAUCAUAAAAAAUUACAGGAAAUUACUCACUCCAAUGAAUCUGAUUAAUUUUAUUAGGCGUUAGGCUUCCAGAAAAUUAAUCUUCAUUUAGCAACUUGAGAAAUUUUUAAUAUUAAUUUCAUUAUAUAUAUAUAUACAAAAAAAGAGGUGAGGAAGCCCCGAGAAGACGCCGGAGAGACUUCGGCGGUAUAGACAGGUGCGAUCAUGAGGGCGUAACCAACCCCUAUACCAGCGACAAACCUCCCGAACAUGAGAAAAGCGUAGUUUGGGGCGAACCCCAUGAGGAGUGCUCCGGCGAAGAAUAUAGCUCCGGCCAACACGAUUGUGUAACGCCGACCAAUCCAGUCAGAUGUUCUACCAGCGGCGCAAGAUCCAAGGAGUGAAUAAAUGUUAAGGAUUCCGGCGAGAAUACCGAUUUGAAGAUCACUAAUCUUCAAAUCUCUCUUGAUAUAAAUCAUUGCUCCACUCAUGACUCCAAUAUCUAUAAAUUACAAAAAAGAAAAUAUGAUUAUCAACUGCACAAACGAGAUGAUACGACAUGAUUACACAUCUAGACAAAAGUGAUGUUUGUAACUAUACGAAUCAGAUGUCAACAUCCAUACACCAUUUAUGUUGCCAACAACAUUGACAUCAUUUUGAUUAGUUAAGAAUGUGUGUCAGAACAUAAAGGAUGUAGUGUUUGUAUGAUUAGCAUUGGAUUUUUCAGUUUUUUUUUUGCGUUGACCGGGAAAAGAGGCUAAACAGAAAACUAACCAUAACCAAGGAGGAUGGAAGUCAUGGAAGCUAAGAUUGCACACGCGAAUGCGUACUUGUUCCUCUUUGGUUUAGCCUGCGGACCUAACUCCGGUACAUGUUUUGUUGCCGGUGCUGGCGAAGGGACUGCUUGGUUUUCCGGCGUGAAACCUGUCAUUUAGAAUGUGGAGGGUGAGAGAGACAGUUGUGGGGACUGAGUAUACUAACAACUUGUGGCAAGAGCUAUGUCUUAAAUAGACGUUUUGUAUUAAGACGAGUCUCUUGGAAAGGGCAAAAUUGUCCGAUACAAUGGGAACACUGCCUGCCCAAAGUUACAUGCAUCACAUUGGCAUCUUUCGUUAGAGACAAAACAUAAAUAUCAAUAGAGGGGAACGGCAACUAAUGAUACAUCAGUUUCCUUUUAAUAUUAAUAGAAAAUGCAAAAGAAAAUAGUUUGAAAGUUGAAAUAAGUAAUGGGAUGGGCUGGAAAAUUUUUUAAUCUGGCCCAACAGCAAAGAGACGGAGACAGCAAUUUCGUGAGCGAAACCGGUUAACGGGCUGGGCUGCAAUUACGAUUUGUUGGUCUGGGUUACCAGUGACGUGGCAGAAUGAAUGGCUGAGAAUAUUUUGCCUAUGUGGCAUCCUUUAUAACAUCUAAAAUUAGUAGCUUUUAUAUAGUGGCUGUGUAGUGGUUAUAUAAAUCACUUCCUUGGAUGAGGCAAAUGCGGCCAACAACAUCUGUAGGAAUAAUUUGGUUGUUUGGAAAAAAAUUAGGAUUUAUUUUUGUGUGAGAGAGUUUUUGUUUUUUUUUUACCUGGUAGGAAGUUGGUUUCACUUGCUAAGCUGAUCAACUGGGUGUAGCGUUGUGGCCGGAAUAUGUAUGAAGGAAUCGGUGCAAUGUUUUCUUGAAUCAGUGUAAUAGUUGUUGUUUCUUUGAUAUUGAUUAUGUAUGGUUGAUCGGUAAGCCUGUAACGUUGGUUAUUGGGGAGGAGAUUAAAAUAUCUAAUGUGAUAAAUUUUCCCUUCUUCGAAGCGUUGGUACAUUGUGUCAGACGUAGAAAUAGGUACCUUCCCCUCCAUUUUUUGUUCCUGUUUAGUGGUUAGAAGCAAUCAUUUGAAAUAUAGUUGGAAUAAUUAAAAAUAUGAAUUUUAGACAAACCUGGAUGUCAAGACAUAUGAAAGUUGUCCCUAGGAAAGCAUCUUUAUUUUUGUGAUUUGUGAUGGGCCAGACCCUAAGGAUCCUAACGAUUAUUGGAUGAGGUUCGAGAGUGUUGUCCUAAUUGCUUUGAUCUUGUGGUGCAUGUGCUACAUAGAUAAGAAUGAGAAUUAGUAUUUUUUUGGCAAUUUUGUUUAAAUUUUUUUUUUUGAAGUGAACAUAGUUAGGGUGUGUUUUUUUUAAGUAUUGUCAUGGUUUUUUUUAAAGUUUAAGUAGGCCGGGCCAUAAUUAUAGGUGGUAGUAGUAAAUUUGUUGGGUGGGUUUGAUAGUAGAAUUUAGUUUUUUAUAGAAAUUUACAGGGACUGUGUGUGAAAUGAGGGGGUUUUGUUAUCUUGGGCGUACUAUUUUAAGAUCAAAGGGAACUUAGGCGGUUUGCACAUUGUUAUAGAAAACAGUUGAAAUAAAAAAUUGUCUGAAAUAAUAGAAAAUGCAAAAGAAAAUAGUUUGACAGUUGAAAUAAGUAAUGGGAUGGGCUGGAAAAUUUUUUAAUCUGGCCCAACAGCAAAGAGACGGAGACAGCAAUUUCGUGAGCGAAACCGGUUAACGGGCUGGGCUGCAAUUACGAUUUGUUGGUCUGGGUUAUCAGUGACGUGGCAGAAUGAAUGGCUGAGAAUAUUUUGCCUAUGUGGCAUCCUUUAUAACAUCCAAAAUUAGUAGCUUUUAUAUAGUGGGAUUAUUCAGUACAAUUUUAUAUUGACCUUGUUUGGAUUUACUCUACCAACAAUGACGACCACAUUGAAACGUAUCGGAGGGCAUAAAGGUAAUCUCGUAAAAGGAUACUUGUUGUCCAUGUGAGCUUGUUGAUCUUGAGGAUUGAACUAUUGAACACAUAAAAGACGGUUCAAAUAGUGUUAUUUAUUUCAAUUUAAAACCCUUUCCCCUCUGUAACCUACUGGUCUAAAUAAAUAAAUGAAAAACAACCAGCGGGCAGCUAAUAUAUUUAUGCGAUAUGGGGUAAGAUAAGAUACACCAAUAGCCGCAGUUUACACAGUUUACAGAUUCGGAUCGAUGGCACUGGAUAUAAUCUCUAGCCAAGAAAUCUGUAUUAGCUUCCUAUUUUCCUUUAUAUAUAAUCGUAGUGCUUAUUUUGCUUUUAGAUCGAUGUUUUCUGUGUAUGUUGAUUUUGUUUGUAGAUUGAUGUUUUCUGUCUGUGUAACCUAGAGAUUGAUGUUUAUUCCGGUGAACCGGAUUUGUACUGUUCAGAUCCCCAUUUAUGAGUUGAUUCAAUUUAAUAGAAAUUAUUUUUAAAAAUCGUAGUGUUUAUUCUGCGUAUGGCGUACCUUGCUUUGAGGUUGAGACAGGGCUUAUCCAACAAUGAGACUAAUGAGAGUACUUCCACUUUCGUUUAUGAGGGCGAAAGGACACUCAUAUACGCAUGUAAAUUACUUUUUAUCUAAAACAAAGAUAAAAGUGUAACGCAUGUUCUUUUGCUAAACUGAAAAUAUCAAAUUAAUGAUUGAAGGUGUUACAAGAGCAAGACCUUCGUUUUAUGUAACGCAUGUUCUCUUGUUCGAAUCCUUUUGAAGCUUUCUGGGAUGACUAUUCACGUACGUGUGCAUGUUUUUCACGUAUAAAACCAAAAAAAAAACCUACGUAACGAAAUAUUUAUGCGUAAUUUGGAAUUCUAACUAAAGUAAGUUGAUUAAUUAAAAAAAAAGUUGAUUAGUUAAUGACUUUUAUGCAUAAUAUGGGAUUCUGAUAAAAUUUAUGUGUUUUAUUAUUAUAUAUUUGAUUAAAAUGUGUUCAUUGUUGAAGUGUAGUAUUAAGUAUUAUUCUCUUUGUUUCUCAAAUAGUGUCACCUUAGCAUUUUUUUUUUGUAAUACAAACAAUGAUUUUUUAGAAUUUCAAUGCAUUUUAUAUUUACUUUCAACUGGAUAUUAAUUGUAAAAUGUAUUGAUUUAAUAAUAAAUUUAUUUAUCUUAAAUAAUAUUGGUUAAACAUAUAUAAUUUAUCUCUUAAAUAAAAAUAAAUACCUUUUAAUCAUUAUUUUAAUAUCUGUGAAAAAUUACAAAAAAUGCGUAAGUGGCACUUUUUAAUGAAGCGGAAGGAUUAUAAACUAAGCUAAGGUUCGUCAAAGAAAAAAUAACAAUGUUCCUUAGAGAAGCCGGGUCAACACACACAACAGUCCAAGACCACAUGUCUUGAUUCUUCAAGAUGAUAAGAGGUAAAUUAAUCACUAACAACAAUACUAGAAGAUUCCUGCAAUUUUUUGUGUUAUUGUAUUCAUAUAUGAUAUUUAUGGAUAUACUUGCAAGAAACCAUUAAUCGAGAAGUCGUUGGCUUACGAUAGCAAUCGCUGUUAUGAAGACUAUAUGAAUUUUCAAAACAUAUCUUGCUUGUACUUGUAGACUCUUUUAGUCAAAUUACAGCAACAAAAAUCAAGUACUAUCAAAUAUAUGUCAUCUCCUUGAUCUGUCAGACACCCGUUUAAUAUAUUUCUAGAUUUUCAGCCUCCAGGAGCGUUUUGGUUGUGGUUAAUUAAAGAUCUCUUAAUUAAACCCGUUGAUCUUUGUCAUAUGAAAAUCCGUCUCUAGCCUUUCCAUGGUACUAAAAGUAUGGUUCAGUAGCUCCCACAAAAAUAAUAAAUUCUUGCUGUAUACUUUAGGUGUAAGAUAUAUCGCACACAUACAUUACUCGUGGCAAUAUUAAUUCUUAUGGACUGUCGAGAUGUUUUGUUAAAGAAGAUGGGUGAAAAUAAAAUAAUUGCAUUUACAGACUUAAGAUGCCAAACAUCGGGUUUUUAACUUUCUAUACUAUAUUUAGCUAAAAGCUUUCUCUUGUCCACAUUGCUACUGUUAUUCUUCUUUUUAACAAAGGGUUUACAACUAUUUCUUUUUUUUCUGUACUAAUUGUUUCUCAUUGUGAUACUUAUAACAUGUAUAUGUAUCAUAUCCUUAGAUAAAGAAAUAUGGGAAACAUCUUUAUAUAACAAUAUGAAAUUAUGAACAUACAUCUUUUAUUUAACGAAAAAACAACGUAUGUUUUCAAUAUUAUACCUUAUUUUAGUGUCUGUGUGUUUUGCCAAAAAGACUAAUUAAUAGUCGAUGAUAUUACCUCAACAUAUCAAUGUUAGAAAAAGGACCAAUAAUUGAAGCAGCAAAUGGUGAAGUGGGCCAAGUUUUAGCAGUAAAGGCAGCCAUCAUAUGUGACCAUAACAUUACGCAGCUCGGCAAUUUGGACUCUCAUAUGAUAUGAUUUGACUUCCACUUUCUCAUUUCCUAGGUGAUUUUACACACAUUUAUGUUCGUGCAAUCAGAAAUGUUUUUUUUUUUGAACAUUACAAUCAGAAAUGUUAACUAUUUGAACUCUCGAGAGCCUAUAUUCAUACUCGUAAACAAACUUUUUAGAAUAGCUAUUUCCAAAAGAAUCUUAAAAGGCGAAGUAGGGAAGAUAAAUACUUUUGUGUGUGCAACUUAUAAUUAAUGCAUCACAAAGACAUCAUAUAUCUUAUGAUCUUAUCUAUCAUUAAAUGCCUGUUGUAAACUAAUAAAAUAAUGUGUCCUUAUUAGAAAUUCGUUGACUUUUAAGUUGACACCCAAGAGUAGUAUAGACAUAUCUAUGCAGUUGAAUUGGACCAUGACGCAAUAAGACAAUAUUUAUUUGUUUAUAAACUAGGCUAGAAAUUACUUUCUUUUUGUCAAGAAAUAAUCAACUACUUAGCGAAGAUACUAUUACAUGUCCAGCGUAUAACAGGGAAUAUCUACAUAUAUAUAUAUGAAAGAAGAGAUUAAAAUGAGCUGCAAUAAAAGGAGCUAAGCAGUGGUCACGAUCUCUUAUUCUCAUUUAGAUUUAUGUUAAUAUUAGUUACUGAUCAAUUGAGUGUAGACUUCUGUAGGUAUGGUUUUCAAGCCUCGUGCGGAGUGUCCACAAUCUUCUACAAAAGUCCACCGAGCGCUUUUGAAUUUCUUUGCUUCUUUUUAUUUAUUUGAAAAGUAUGUAUAUUUAUUACAUUUUGAAUAUACCAAAUCUCUUUUGUCCAACAAAAAAAUAUACCAUAUCUCUUAUGAUGAUGAGACAACAAAAUAUAAUUGUUAGAUAAAGGAACGCCAAUUCUGUAUUAACCAUAUCAGAAAGUAUAUGCUUGCUGAAUAUAUAUAGAGAAGCAAAACAGCCAGUAAUACAUAUAUUAAUUAUAUUAAUUGUGUAUUCAGAUUGAAAGAUAUGAGCUAUAUAAAUUAUAUGAAUUCCCCAGCUGUAUCUAUACGUGAAUGCAAUUUUCUGACAGCUUAGAUGAUCUGAAACCAGCAAUAAUAUAAUUCAAAUAGUAACAAGUUAACAACGCAUAAUAUCUUACAAAUUUGCAAUUAAGUUGUUUCAUUAUGGUUAUGGUAGUCAAGAUCUCAAGAAAUUAUAUACUCGUUCUUUUUCUUUUCUUUUUGUCGUCAAGAAAGUAUAUAUACUCGUAAAUUAGGGAAAACGACCUAUUUCCACACCAGAAGUUUCAUAUAGUAACAGUUCCACACGAUCUUUCAACCUCGUUUUAAUUGCACAUAUAUAGAAGCUGUACAACCUAUUUCUCCACAAUGUCAAAGUUCAAAAUCCGAACCCACAUGAACGUACAAUUAGCUGAUUAAAAUCGGUUUACUGGUUUUUGAGUUUAAGCCUAACCAAUAGAAAACCUAAUUAAACCUAAGAAAACCCGUUUACGACCCUAUUUGUUUAUUAUAAACCGUAAUUUAACUAACCCAGUUUUUAUUAACCAGAAAAAAUCCAAUUCUGUUCAUCUCUCUCAAGUGAACCCUAGGCAAGACUGAAGCUUUGAAUCAAUUUCGUGGACUGUUCUUUCUGCCUGAUCGGUUAUGUCAGGUGAGUUUGUCGUCUCAUCUUCUUCCUUUUCGAGUUUCCAUUAUAAUUACUCUCUGUUUUGAACUGAAUCAAUUUUGCUUACUCUUUGUUUCACCAGCUGAAGGAGAGAGCUUAUGGGUUCAUUUUUAGGGUUCGUAUAAUUGGGGGAUUUUAAAAUUGGAUUCCAACCGGAUUAAAAUAGGAUCUCUGGUCGGGUUAUUUUAUGUCUUUCGGUUUGGUUACUUCUUAUGAACCACUAAAUUGAUGAAUAACCGAAGCCAUGUGGGUUCGGGUUUUGAACUUUGACAUUGUGGAGAAAUAGGUUGUACAACUUCUAUAUAUGUGCAAUUAAGACGAGGUUAAAAAAUCGUGUGGAACUGUUACUAUAUGAAACUUCUGGUGUGGAAAUACGUCGUUUUCCCCGUAAAUUAUGGUAUACUUUUAUAUUUUGUAUAUUUUGACUUGAAAUAAUAAAAGGAGAAACUGUUAGACGUUUAAUAAAGCAAAUGGUGUCACGUCGACAUCGACAACUAAUCACAACAUUCAGACGAUUCGUUGGGCCACGACAUAAAUCAAAACAAAAUAAAUGUUACAAUCACUUUGAACAUAGACUCAUAGUGUAACUCUUUGUGAUUUAUAUCGACUUCAAAUAUAAUCAAUAGUGUAAUUGUGUAAGACACCACAGAGACUUUUUUCCGCCGUUUUUGUUCUGUUUCAUAUAAUAUUUUUUUGUACGAAGAGUUUAAUGGUUUCUAUUGGACGAAGAGUCGCUAUGUUAGUCUAAGGUAGAUAACUAGAUAUCAAUUUAUUUUCAAUGUAAAAUCACUAAUUCCAUGUAUGGUUAGUUGACGUAGAUCUCUAACUCCUACAUAAAAUAACCAUAUUUGCAUGACUAGUCGAGCCAAAACACUUCUCUUGUUUAAAAGAAAAUCUAUACUGAUUUUACAUAUAAAUUAUAAAUAUAUGAAGAUCUAAAUGCAACGAGAACAUAUAUUUGUAUACGAACUAUUUUUCUUUAAAAGUUAUAUAUGCGAAGUUCCUUUUGUCCAAAUCAAUAUUAUCAUUACAUAAGCAGGCAUUUGCAAUGUGAUGUACGUGGAAAGUUACUAAACUAGAUAUGGUUAGAUUCGUGGACCGGUUAAAGUUAGUUGUGGUUUUGUUUAAUAUAUGUGUAGAAAAGCACAUUUAAGGUUGUUAUAUAUACCUAGUUACAAAAAAAGGGGUUAUUAAUAUACCUUUUCUGGCGAGAUUCGACAUGACCCCAAUCAGGUAAUCAUGUGUAUGCAUUCGAUGCUCAUCAUUGUGAACAAUUGUAAUCUAAGUGGCUACAUAUCAUUUAUAAUUUGAUGAUCCAUAUUGUCUAUAAACUGUUACCGAUUAAAGUGGCAGCCGAUAGGUUUCAGGACUAUUGUACACUGCUUACCAAAAUAUGUUUCACUUGAACAAGUAAUCUGAGAUAUACACAGGCCCUGUUCGUUUGUACAUCUGGAAGAUGCAUCCAGAUGGUCCAUCUAGAUGUCUUAUCCAGAUGCUCCAUCUGGGUGUUGUUCGUUUCUUCAUUUCAUUCAUGCAUCCAAAUGAAUCAUCUGAAUGCAACUAUGUUCGUUUGCUUGUCAUUUUUUAACUUUCAUCUGCAUCUAGGUGGACUUGUUAAUAAAAUG
Molecule: long non-coding RNA, 24593 nt
Filed under: Brassica napus (rape)
Lineage: Eukaryota; Viridiplantae; Streptophyta; Magnoliopsida; Brassicales; Brassicaceae
Description: long non-coding RNA (BNAP_LNC002631)
Source: RNAcentral